AGACCGUGAUGUAGGCAUUUCCUUAAUAGCUCUUUGAACCUGUCCCAUGUCUCAUAUAAGGAUUCCCCGUCUUCUUGAUAGUAGGUGUUAAUCUCGGUCAUGAGUUU
RNAcentral lists this small nucleolar RNA (107 nucleotides) under Helianthus annuus (common sunflower). RNAcentral's name for it is "Plant small nucleolar RNA R71". It matches the Rfam family "Plant small nucleolar RNA R71". From Rfam's summary of the family: R71 is a member of the C/D box family of snoRNAs containing the C (UGAUGA) and D (CUGA) box motifs. The record is from RNAcentral. Lineage: Eukaryota; Viridiplantae; Streptophyta; Magnoliopsida; Asterales; Asteraceae.